RNAcentral lists this ribosomal RNA (429 nucleotides) under uncultured Bacillota bacterium. Its description in RNAcentral is "bacterial SSU rRNA". It matches the Rfam family "Bacterial small subunit ribosomal RNA", at positions 355 to 776 of the family's 1533-position model. The record is from RNAcentral. Lineage: Bacteria; Bacillati; Bacillota.
UAGGGAAUCUUCGGCAAUGGGGGGAACCCUGACCGAGCAACGCCGCGUGAGUGAAGAAGGUUUUCGGAUCGUAAAGCUCUGUUGUAAGAGAAGAACGUGUGUGAGAGUGGAAAGUUCACACAGUGACGGUAACUUACCAGAAAGGGACGGCUAACUACGUGCCAGCAGCCGCGGUAAUACGUAGGUCCCGAGCGUUGUCCGGAUUUAUUGGGCGUAAAGCGAGCGCAGGCGGUUUGAUAAGUCUGAAGUAAAAGGCUGUGGCUUAACCAUAGUAUGCUUUGGAAACUGUCAAACUUGAGUGCAGAAGGGGAGAGUGGAAUUCCAUGUGUAGCGGUGAAAUGCGUAGAUAUAUGGAGGAACACCGGUGGCGAAAGCGGCUCUCUGGUCUGUAACUGACGCUGAGGCUCGAAAGCGUGGGGAGCAAACAGG